AUUGAACGCUGGCGGCAGGCCUAACACAUGCAAGUCGAGCGGAUGAAGGGAGCUUGCUCCUGGAUUCAGCGGCGGACGGGUGAGUAAUGCCUAUGAAUCUGCCUGGUAGUGGGGGAUAACGUCCGGAAACGGGCGCUAAUACCGCAUACGUCCUGAGGGAGAAAGUGGGGGAUCUUCGGACCUCACGCUAUCAGAUGAGCCUAGGUCGGAUUAGCUAGUUGGUGGGGUAAAGGCCUACCAAGGCGACGAUCCGUAACUGGUCUGAGAGGAUGAUCAGUCACACUGGAACUGAGACACGGUACAGACUCCUACGGGAGGCAGCAGUGGGGAAUAUUGGACCAUGGGCGAAAGCCUGAUCCAGCCAUGCCGCGUGUGUGAAGAAGGUCUUCGGAUUGUAAAGCACUUUAAGUUGGGAGGAAGGGCAGUAAGUUAAUACCUUGCUGUUUUGACGGUACCAACAGAAUAAGCACCGGCUAACUUCGUG
RNAcentral lists this ribosomal RNA (484 nucleotides) under uncultured bacterium. RNAcentral's name for it is "partial 16S ribosomal RNA". It matches the Rfam family "Bacterial small subunit ribosomal RNA", at positions 30 to 507 of the family's 1533-position model. The record is from RNAcentral.